Molecule: ribosomal RNA, 251 nt
Filed under: uncultured bacterium
Lineage: Bacteria
Description: partial 16S ribosomal RNA
Rfam family: Bacterial small subunit ribosomal RNA
Source: RNAcentral
ACGUAGGUGGCAAGCGUUACUCGGAAUUACUAGGCGUAAAGCGUUCGUAGGCGGAAGUUUAAGUCUGCUGUGCAAUCUCCGGGCUCAACCCGGAAACUGCAGCAGAAACUGGAUUUCUUGAGUGAGGCAGAGGAAGAUGGAAUUCCUGGUGUAGCAGUGAAAUGCGUAGAUAUCAGGAGGAACACCGGUGGCGAAGGCGGUCUUCUGGGCCUUUACUGACGCUAAAGAACGAAAGCUAGGGGAGCAAACGG